GAUGAACGCUGGCGGCGUGCCUAAUACAUGCAAGUCGAGCGAACAGACGAGGAGCUUGCUCCUCUGACGUUAGCGGCGGACGGGUGAGUAACACGUGGAUAACCUACCUAUAAGACUGGGAUAACUUCGGGAAACCGGAGCUAAUACCGGAUAAUAUAUUGAACCGCAUGGUUCAAUAGUGAAAGACGGUUUUGCUGUCACUUAUAGAUGGAUCCGCGCCGCAUUAGCUAGUUGGUAAGGUAACGGCUUACCAAGGCAACGAUGCGUAGCCGACCCGAGAGGGUGAUCGGCCACACUGGAACUGAGACACGGUCCAGACUCCUACGGGAGGCAGCAGUAGGGAAUCUUCCGCAAUGGGCGAAAGCCUGACGGAGCAACGCCGCGUGAGUGAUGAAGGUCUUCGGAUCGUAAAACUCUUUUAUUAGGGAAGAACAAAUGUGUAAGUAACUAUGCACGUCUUGACGGUACCUAAUCAGAAAGCCACGGCUAACUACGUG
This 497-nucleotide ribosomal RNA is filed under the name uncultured bacterium. Its description in RNAcentral is "partial 16S ribosomal RNA". It matches the Rfam family "Bacterial small subunit ribosomal RNA", at positions 28 to 507 of the family's 1533-position model. The record is from RNAcentral.